UGCACUAGGGGAGCCUUGCGGCUGAGAUGAAUAUGACUAUUCGGACCCUUUGAACCUGAUCUGGAUCAUACCAGCGGAGGGAAGUGGAG
Molecule: non-coding RNA, 89 nt
Filed under: Paenibacillus amylolyticus
Lineage: Bacteria; Bacillati; Bacillota; Bacilli; Caryophanales; Paenibacillaceae
Description: TPP riboswitch (THI element)
Rfam family: TPP riboswitch aptamer (THI element)
About the family: Vitamin B(1) in its active form thiamin pyrophosphate (TPP) is an essential coenzyme that is synthesised by coupling of pyrimidine and thiazole moieties in bacteria. The previously detected thiamin-regulatory element, thi box was extended, resulting in a new, highly conserved RNA secondary structure, the THI element, which is widely distributed in eubacteria and also occurs in some archaea.
Source: RNAcentral